Long non-coding RNA from Armigeres subalbatus, 925 nucleotides. RefSeq lists it as uncharacterized. The transcript is spliced from 3 exons. The record is from RefSeq and is a predicted model, not a curated record. Lineage: Eukaryota; Metazoa; Arthropoda; Insecta; Diptera; Culicidae.
GAAGAGGCAAGAGUGGUUGGAAACUUGUCUCGUGUCGUGUUGUGUUUUAAUAGUGCUUAUCGUUAGUCAAAUACGAGUUAGCCGGCGGCCUAAGUGUAAUUUGUGUGAUUUGCUAGGAAACGGGGGAUCCGUGGCAGCAAGGGUCAACGCCGACACAGCACCCAUUGUUAUAAACCGCUCUUGACCCCACAUUGCGAUUUCGGAGAGUUCCCGGGGCACACGUGGCCGGAAGAGGGUUGCAUUCAGUUUUUCCCGCACCCUAGACAGGCAGACCAUCGCAAUCUCGUUCCAUCGAGUAACAGCCAUCUUGUUCGAGGGCAAUCGAACGCACGUGCCGCGUUCCCGCGUAAGCCCGCGUUUCCCGUGGGGAGGUAUCAUCGAAAACCGAUCGCAUUGGAGAUUCCAUCGGUCCUGGAUCGAAGCAAGACCACCGCUUCGAUACCGCCGCCGAUACACCCACACUCGUCGAGUCGCCGUAAACCCAUGGUAGCGCGUAAGUACUAGGAGAACAUGCAUGUAUUUCUGUUUGUGUCGUCCAUGCGCAUGUGACCUGAAUGGCACAACAGAAACCCGUCUCGAUCGUCAUCAAUGAGACCGUCCUAGUUACUACACACCCACACAUCCACACACACGCAAUCAUCAAUGAACCGUCACCGCAGGAGAGAGAACUAAUUCGUCGUAGCCGAAGAGCGGGUAUCCGGAGAGCAUAAAGGUAGGGAGAUAAAGAAAGUGUACGCUAGACGCAAAUAAAGUUACACGCCGUGAGCGUCUAUGAAAUUGGGAAGGAAGUAGGCCUAGGAAAGCAUGCGAAGAAGGAGGUAAUCGCCGAAUAAAGAAACUUUUUAUGUCGAGCUAGAGGAGCUUUUACUUUGGAGUGCCUAAGGGUAGGCUACCGGUAUUAUGGCGAAUAAAUAAGCAGAACAGU